UACGAAGGGGGCUAGCGUUGUUCGGAAUUAUCUGGGCGUAAAGCGUCGCGCAGGACGGCCUCUUUAAGUCUGACUGUGAAAAGCCCCCCGGCUCAACCGGGGAGGGCCAUUGGAAACUGGGAGGCUUGAGUAUAGGAGAGAAGAGUGGAAUUCCACGUGUAGCGGUGAAAUGCGUAGAGAUGUGGAGGAACACCAGUGGCGAAGGCGACUCUUUGGCCUAUAACUGACGCUGGAGGCGACGAAAGCGUGGGGAGCAAACAGG
RNAcentral lists this ribosomal RNA (262 nucleotides) under uncultured bacterium. RNAcentral's name for it is "partial 16S ribosomal RNA". It matches the Rfam family "Bacterial small subunit ribosomal RNA", at positions 524 to 776 of the family's 1533-position model. The record is from RNAcentral.